AUGCGUUGUUGGGUAGGGGAGCGUUCUGUAAGCCUGUGAAGGUGGCCUGUGAGGGUUGCUGGAGGUAUCAGAAGUGCGAAUGCUGACAUAAGUAACGAUAAAGCGGGUGAAAAGCCCGCUCGCCGGAAGACCAAGGGUUCCUGUCCAACGUUAAUCGGGGCAGGGUGAGUCGACCCCUAAGGCGAGGCCGAAAGGCGUAGUCGAUGGGAAACGGGUUAAUAUUCCCGUACUUGGUGUUACUGCGAAGGGGGGACGGAGAAGGCUAUGUUGGCCGGGCGACGGUUGUCCCGGUUUAAGCGUGUAGGUGUGUGUUCCAGGUAAAUCCGGUUCACUUUAACACUGAGGCGUGAUGACGAGGCACUACGGUGCUGAAGCAACAAAUGCCCUGCUUCCAGGAAAAGCCUCUAAGCAUCAGGUAACAUCAAAUCGUACCCCAAACCGACACAGGUGGUCAGGUAGAGAAUACCAAGGCGCUUGAGAGAACUCGGGUGAAGGAACUAGGCAAAAUGGUGCCGUAACUUCGGGAGAAGGCACGCUGACACGUAGGUGAAGUGAUUUACUCA
RNAcentral lists this ribosomal RNA (563 nucleotides) under Salmonella enterica subsp. enterica serovar Goldcoast. RNAcentral's name for it is "partial 23S ribosomal RNA". It matches the Rfam family "Bacterial large subunit ribosomal RNA", at positions 1216 to 1772 of the family's 2925-position model. Lineage: Bacteria; Pseudomonadati; Pseudomonadota; Gammaproteobacteria; Enterobacterales; Enterobacteriaceae. The record is from RNAcentral.